CCUUUAUAGUGGGUGUAGGGUCUGAAAAACUCAGAUAUGGAUGUGUUGUCUAUCAGCUUCUUCUUUUGUACACCCAUGAGAUUGGAGUUAAAUAACAGCACGAUAAUU
Mangifera indica (mango) is the source of this 108-nucleotide small nucleolar RNA. RefSeq annotates it as small nucleolar RNA snoR97. Lineage: Eukaryota; Viridiplantae; Streptophyta; Magnoliopsida; Sapindales; Anacardiaceae. The record is from RefSeq and is a predicted model, not a curated record. The transcript has a single exon.